Molecule: long non-coding RNA, 354 nt
Organism: Perca fluviatilis (European perch)
Lineage: Eukaryota; Metazoa; Chordata; Actinopteri; Perciformes; Percidae
Exons: 3
Source: RefSeq, a predicted model, not a curated record
GGAGGAGGGACCAGCCAGAAAUAUUAUCUGGCCACAGGUGAGCAGGAGGAGGGAAAAGAGCUGGACAGAAAGAGUUGGACGGUGUGAAACGGAGGACCGGGGUGGGGGGAACGAUGGACCUGGGGAGCAGCAUUACACCUGUCUGUGGUCUAAGAACAAUGAAACAUUGUGGGACGUGCAGGACCCGAGCAGACCUACGACGCUGUCCCAGGGCUGAGCUCCAGCUUCUUCUACCAGAGCUUCUACCACCGGACCCCGGCGCAAUAAGUUCAAAUAUCCAUUAUGUAGAUAUUGUGAUUUGUAAUUUUUUUUUUUUAUAUUGGACUAAAAAUAAAGCAUUACAAUAGUCUCAAC